Long non-coding RNA from Capsicum annuum, 616 nucleotides. RefSeq lists it as uncharacterized. Lineage: Eukaryota; Viridiplantae; Streptophyta; Magnoliopsida; Solanales; Solanaceae. The transcript is spliced from 3 exons. The record is from RefSeq and is a predicted model, not a curated record.
AUUGGCCAAAAUUUUUCAUCAUUUUUUAAUUCAAAACUUCCAUUCCCCCAAAAUCUCCCUCUCUCUCAUUUUCCUCAAAUCAGCUUCUCUGUUGGUCCCCCCUCCCAAGUUGACUCCAUUUCCCUCAAAUUGACUUUGUGGUCGGCCAUUGCUACGCCGGCCGACCAUUGCAAUUGAGCUGGACUCCGAGAUUAUCCAGACUCUGAGGGAGAAGCAUUUAACAGAGAUCACUGCUUUAUACGAGUGAAUUGCUUCUUCAGUACAACAGCCAAGUGAUGCGGCUAGUGGACCCAUUUCGCCCAUUGAUGCAAGGAGAUCACAUGAUGAUAAUGAUCCUAAUGACAUUCUUUGAUUUUGUUGCAUUUGUUUUGGAUAUUCAAUUAUGAUGAUGUAAUUGUGUGGUUGGAGUGAAUCUUAGAAUAUUGUAGGUUUUGUGUUUAAAUUUAAUUUUGUAGUUUAAAAAUACUAGUUAAUGUUGAAAAUUUGGAGUUUGAAGAUGUUAAUGUUGACAAUUUAAUUUUGAAGUUUAAUGUUCAAUGUAUUUUUUAUAUGCUUGUCAAUUGCAAUGUUUAAUUAUUCUGUUGUAAUAAUGAUAUAUGAAUUGAACAAAUAUUGG